This is a long non-coding RNA of Macaca mulatta (Rhesus monkey), 2515 nucleotides long. RefSeq lists it as uncharacterized. Lineage: Eukaryota; Metazoa; Chordata; Mammalia; Primates; Cercopithecidae. The record is from RefSeq and is a predicted model, not a curated record.
GGCUUUAAAAUGCUGCUUUGUUCCAAAGGCCGUUCUGCAAUGAUGAAGGGGGAUGAUUGAAAAGAGCUGGACUAAAUUAGUCUAACUAGGACACUUGAAGGCUUGUGAAUCAGUUCACACGAUCAGUGUGAAGAGCGGGUAUGAAGACCCAGAUGCUGGUGUGUGCGUGUGCGUAUAAGCCCCAACAGUUCUGGCGGUCAGAAGUCCGAAAUGGGUCUUACACGACCAAAAUCCAGAAGUCGACAGGGAGGAAGAACUGAGGAUCCUACAUCCUGUGAGGGAGCAGCGAGAGCACUGCAGGGAAACAGUGUGAAUCCAAGAAGAUGUCAUUGAGUGCAAACACAGUCCUGGAGCUGGGCCCGUUGGGCGUCAACCUCAGGAGCUAUUAAUCUACAUGCUUCAAUUUCAUCAGUGAUGAGGACAUCUGCAUGGUAAAGCCAACACACUGUAUCACGGAGCUGUGCGUAUAUCAGGCUAGAGACUCAGAGAAGCCAAAGGAAGAUCCAUGGUUGCUGGAGGAUCUGUGGUCUAUCCAUGGUUGCUGGAGGAGCUGUGGUCCAUUCGUGGUUGCUGGAGGAGCUGUGGUCCAUCCGUGGUUGCUGGAGGAGCUGUGGUCUUAGUGGUCCACAAUGUGAGCUCAUGAUCAUCAUCAGUGUGCAUGAUCUGCCAUUGCACCUACAGUUCUAUAUCCACCUUCAGUGGGCAAAAUAUGGCUGCUGCUUCACUUUCUUCUUCCAGAUCUUGUUCAAAUCUUUUUUGUGCCUAAAGGUAACCUGGAGCCACAACGAAAGUGAUUACGAGAAAUGGAGUUUAACUAAGAUGACCCAGUACAAAGUCACACAACAGACAUCUCCAUUUCUCUCCCUGAAAUGAGUUUGUAGGAACAACAGCUAUAAUCAUUCUAAACACAAUUUAAUCCUAGGCUUGGCACCAAAUCUCAAGGUUCCGGAAUUUCCGGAAGACUUGCUUAAGGGACUCAUUCUCACGUCUAAAUUUGGGAAUGGAGAAGUCAACUAAAUGGGAGAUCCUUAUAGAAACAAGACAGAAAGGAAGGAUUGGAGCUGGGAACUAUUUGAAAUUAUACUAAUGAUCAUGUCUUCUAUUGAAUAAAAAGCAACUACCAGUAAUGUACUAAGGAGUUUUCCAAAUUCCUAAUCCUCUCUGUUCCCCUCCCCCCAACAAAAAAAAAGAGAGAAAGAUAAAAGUAGCAAGCUGCUCUUUGCAUGAAGGAGUCAUUCAUGUAUUCAUUGACAAGAAGCAGCAGCCAAGCAUGUACAGAGAACCUAUCUAGAUAGUCAGGAUGGCUGGGCACUGCGCUAAUACAGUGUCCUACAUGGGGACUGUCUUCAAGAAGAUUGGAAAAAGGAUCAGAAUCCGUUCUCAGCAUGUUUGAACAGAAAGUUGCUAUGCAACAGCCUCGCACCUAAGCAAAAUGCUGGCCGCUGGCCUUCAGCUUGGGCAUGGCCCAGGGUAGGUGGAGGCAACUGACACCAAGGGCAUUCUCUCAGAGACAAGACAGCCCCUGGAAACCCCACUACCAGAUCUACCUGAGAUCCUUAGAUUAAAAAUUAUGUGCAAAUAGCUAUCAAAAAGUCAGAGAACACUCAACUAAAAGCAUCAUGAUCAUGAUCAUCAUCACCAUCAUCAUCAUUGACAUGACUCCUGCUACCCACACAAUCUGCAAAUAGCAAGACUUUUGUCCUUCUACACAGACAUGGAGUCCAGCCAAAUACCUCUGUGGCCUGAGGCAUCUGCAGAUCUGGACCCAGUCAACAGAGGUUGAGUGAUUGGAUGUGGGCCAGAAAAUUCCUUACUUUUAUUUCUUCCACUUGGUGGAAUAAGAACACUGUGUUGUCUUGGUAAAACCCACUCCUGUGCUUCUUCCCUUUGCAAAAGGCAGGCUGGACAUCAUUAUUUUGAAAACAUGACAUUUUUUGCAUUUGUGAGUUGGGUUGGGUUUUGUUUUGCUGGUGUUGUUUCCCAUAUAAUGAUUAUUCACAUACACCUGACUAAUCACUUGUCACAUUAAAAGUCAAAGGCCUCCCAUCAGGAAUUUAGAGGAUUUAUUUUCUCCACCAUGGAGUUCUCAUCAGGACUGACCUGUUAGAACCAGCUCGAUGGCCACAGCUGCUUGCAUGCCCAUGACUGCCACACAGUCCCUUUAAUCACUUCUCAGAGUCCAGAGAGGUCCCUGGGGAGGCUGAUUCCAUUGCAGGAUAUUUAUUUGAAGUAAAUUCAGAAAAUGGUGUCAUCUCUUGCCAUUUGGAUGCAGAAUAUCGUAAUAAUAUCUUUCCUAUUUGUUCCAGUAAGAUUCAUUUGACUGUAUCUGCUUUUAUUCUAAACUAGCUGGUCGAAGUCUUGCCCUGCUGUGGAUCACACAUUUUCCCAUGCAAGUUAAUUGGUAAUGCAAAAAAUGUACCUUAUAAUGGAUUUUUACUAGGCAUUAAAAAAAUAUAAUUGGCCAGGCACAGUGGCUCAUGCCACUUUGGAAGGCAGAGGCAGGAGGAUCGUUUGA